UCAUAAGGCACUCCAGUACCUGCUCAUCCUUUAGCUGACUGUCCAAGUUUAGUACAGGGCCACUCAUCCUUCUCUACAGACAUGCAGUGGUCCAUGCUGAAUUUAGUUUGCCAGAAAAUACUCAGUUUGGAGAAAGUGGGGUGCUUUAAGAUUUGUGUAUCUGUAAGCUAGCAGGAAUAUCACCAGUAUUCUUGAAUUCCGACCAAACAAUGCUUGACCAGUUGAUACAAAGACAGUGUAAAUCUCGUAUCUGAGACACUAGCAAAACAAUUCUGAAAGAGAAGCAACAUCAUUCCCUUCUUGUGCUGGACCCUCUGCAUGGGUCUCCUUAGUGUUCUUAGCUAUUCUGAUGGAACAUCCUGAGGAUCACAAGUACAUACCACUUUGCCUGGCUUUUCUACAUGGUGUCUGGGGAUUGAACUCCGGUCCUUAUGCAUGCACAGCAAGUACUUGACCCACUGAGCUACAUCUCCUAUCCUCUCCAUUUUGAGUUUUUUGUUUAUUUGUUUUGAGACACAGCCACACACUAUAGCCGAGGCAAUUCUCCUGCCUCAGCCUCUGAAAUGCUGGAAUUACAGGGAUGAGUCACUAUAACUAGCCUCUGUAAAUAACUGCAUGCACAAAAAAGUCUUGUCUAUACAAAUGCCAACGAAGGAAAAAUUAGUCACAAAAGAAAACUUCAUUUUCUCCAAUAAAGUCUUGUGGGUAGCUGUUCCAGCUCUGACCUUGAAACACAGCCCCAGUGAGGCAGCUGGUAACGGCCACGCCUACCUAGGAUCUGCCCCUAGGGCAUGGCUGGAACAGGAGCCCUUAAGACAGGAGAUCCAGACAUGCUGGCCUUCUUGGUUCCUUGUGAUCCUGGAUGCUGGAUGGCCAACAGAGUCAGAGUUCUCCAGAGAACCCUGCUGGACUGCAACUCACCUCUCCCGGAUCCUGUAACUAACCCCUUUACUGGCUGUAAGUUACCCCUAAAUAAACCUUUUAACUACAUGGAGUUGUCUUGUUAAAUCCCCACAUUAAGAGUCUUACUUGGUAUAUAAACUAUACUUAAGGGCAAGGCCCCAUGCCCGCAGUAGAUAGCCAAUACAAAAUGAACUCAAUGGUAUGUUUGGAGAGUUUUGUCUCAUGAUGCUUUGCUGGGCAUUUUUUCAAUCAUAAAGGUCUUUUGCUUAUAUAUUAUGCUUUCCAAUUUUGUGUUUUUAUGGGACUUCAGUGUGUACAACUGUGUGUAUCUCUGUGUCUGUAUGCAUUUCUUGUGCUUUUUCUUUUGUUUGCUUUUGUCCUAGUCGGUCUCUAUCUCUGUCUCUCUCUCUGUGCAUGUGUGUUUGUCUGUGUGUUUAGUUGCCUGUUUGUUUUCUAAUGAGAGAAAGAAAGAAUGUGGAUUUGGAUGUGUAGGGAGGUAGGGAUGAUCUGAGAAGAGCUGUGAGAGGAAAAAUCA
Long non-coding RNA from Peromyscus eremicus (cactus mouse), 1438 nucleotides. RefSeq lists it as uncharacterized. The transcript has 3 exons. Lineage: Eukaryota; Metazoa; Chordata; Mammalia; Rodentia; Cricetidae. The record is from RefSeq and is a predicted model, not a curated record.